This 460-nucleotide ribosomal RNA is filed under the name uncultured bacterium. RNAcentral describes it as "partial 16S ribosomal RNA". It matches the Rfam family "Bacterial small subunit ribosomal RNA", at positions 338 to 795 of the family's 1533-position model. The record is from RNAcentral.
CCUACGGGACGCAGCAGUGAGGAAUAUUGGUCAAUGGACGAGAGUCUGAACCAGCCAAGUAGCGUGAAGGAUGACUGCCCUAUGGGUUGUAAACUUCUUUUAUAAAGGAAUAAAACGAGGCACGUGUGCCUUUUUGCAUGGACUUUAUGAAUAAGGAUCGGCUAACUCCGUGCCAGCAGCCUCGGUAAUCCGGAGGAUCCGAACGUUAUCCGGAUUUAUUGGGUUUAAAGGGAGCGUAGAUGGGUUGUUAAGUCAGUUGUGAAAGUUUGCGGCUCAACCGUAAAAUUGCAAUGGAUACUGGCAGUCUUGAGUACAGUUGAGGUAGGCGGAAUUCGUGGUGUAGCGGUGAAAUGCUUAGAUAUCACGAAGAACCCCGAUUGCGAAGGCAGCUUACUAAACUGUGACUGACAUUGAUGCUCGAAAGUGUGGGUAGCAAACAGGAUUAGAUACCCUUGUAGUC